Molecule: ribosomal RNA, 467 nt
Filed under: uncultured bacterium
Lineage: Bacteria
Description: partial 16S ribosomal RNA
Rfam family: Bacterial small subunit ribosomal RNA
Source: RNAcentral
GAUGAACGCUGGCGGCGUGCUCAACACAUGCAAGUCGAACGGAAAGGCCUCUGCUUGCAGGGGUACUCGAGUGGCGAACGGGUGAGUAACACGUGGGUGAUCUGCCCUGCACUUCGGGAUAAGCCUGGGAAACUGGGUCUAAUACCGGAUAGGACAAUGGUUUGGAUGCUGUUGUGGAAAGUUUUUCGGUGUGGGAUGAGCUCGCGGCCUAUCAGCUUGUUGGUGGGGUAAUGGCCUACCAAGGCGUCGACGGGUAGCCGGCCUGAGAGGGUGUACGGCCACAUUGGGACUGAGAUACGGCCCAGACUCCUACGGGAGGCAGCAGUGGGGAAUAUUGCACAAUGGGCGCAAGCCUGAUGCAGCGACGCCGCGUGGGGGAUGACGGCCUUCGGGUUGUAAACUCCUUUCGCUAGGGACGAAGCGUUUUUGUGACGGUACCUGGAGAAGAAGCACCGGCUAACUACGUG